CCUACGGGGGGCAGCAGUGGGGAAUAUUGGGCAAUGGAGGGAACUCUGACCCAGCAACGCCGCGUGAAGGAUGAAGGUUUUCGGAUUGUAAACUUCUGUCGCGAGGGACGAAGAAUGACGGUACCUCGUAAGAAAGCCCCGGCAAACUACGUGCCAGCAGCCGCGGUAAUACGUAGGGGGCGAGCGUUGUCCGGAAUGACUGGGCGUAAAGGGAGUGUAGGCGGCCUUUUAAGUUAUAUGUGAAAUCCCGUGGCUCAACCAUGGAAGUGCAUAUAAAACUGGAGGGCUGGAGUGCAGGAGAGGUAAGUGGAAUUCCUAGUGUAGCGGUGGAAUGCGUAGAUAUUAGGAGGAACACCAGAGGCGAAGGCGGCUUACUGGCCUGUAACUGACGCUGAGGCUCGAAAGCGUGGGGAGCAAACAGGAUUAGAUACCCCAGUA
RNAcentral lists this ribosomal RNA (438 nucleotides) under uncultured bacterium. Its description in RNAcentral is "bacterial SSU rRNA". It matches the Rfam family "Bacterial small subunit ribosomal RNA", at positions 338 to 792 of the family's 1533-position model. The record is from RNAcentral.